GCCAGGUGUGGGGGUGCAUGCUUGUGUUCCCAGUUACUCAGGAGGUUGAGGCAGAGGGAUCGCUUGAACCCAGGAGUUUGGGGCUGCAGUGAACUAUGACUGCACCACUGCACUCCAGCCUGGGCAAAAGAGUGAGACUCUGUCUCUU
Pongo abelii (Sumatran orangutan) is the source of this 148-nucleotide unclassified non-coding RNA. It matches the Rfam family "Metazoan signal recognition particle RNA". From Rfam's summary of the family: The signal recognition particle (SRP) is a universally conserved ribonucleoprotein. It is involved in the co-translational targeting of proteins to membranes. Lineage: Eukaryota; Metazoa; Chordata; Mammalia; Primates; Hominidae. The record is from Ensembl.